GGAUUAGAUACCCUGGUAGUCCGCACCGUAAACGUUGUAUACUAGUUGUUGGUGGUUUCAACGCCAUCAGUGACGUCGCUAACGCAUUAAGUAUACCGCCUGGGGAGUAUGCUCGCAAGGGUGAAACUCAAAGAAAUUGACGGGGGCCCGCACAAGCGGUGGAGCAUGUGGUUUAAUUCGACGAUACGCGAGAAACCUUACCUGGGUUUGACAUGGAUUUGACUGGGGUAGAGAUACCCCUUCCCGCAAGGGCAGAUUCACAGGUGUUGCAUGGUCGUCGUCAGCUCGUGCCG
This 293-nucleotide ribosomal RNA is filed under the name uncultured bacterium. RNAcentral's name for it is "partial 16S ribosomal RNA". It matches the Rfam family "Bacterial small subunit ribosomal RNA", at positions 775 to 1067 of the family's 1533-position model. The record is from RNAcentral.